UGUUCUUCGUGAACAUGGCGUACUGCUCAGUAACACGUGGAUAACCUGCCCUUGGGUCCGGCAUAACCCCGGGAAACUGGGGAUAAUUCCGGAUAACGCACAUAUGCUGGAAUGCUUUAUGCGUCAAAUGGAUUCGUCUGCCCAAGGAUGGGUCUGCGGCCUAUCAGGUAGUAGUGGGUGUAAUGUACCUACUAGCCGACGACGGGUACGGGUUGUGAGAGCAAGAGCCCGGAGAUGGAUUCUGAGACAUGAAUCCAGGCCCUACGGGGCGCAGCAGGCGCGAAAACUUUACAAUGCGGGAAACCGUGAUAAGGGGACACCGAGUGCCAGCAUCAUAUGCUGGCUGUCCGGGUGUGUAAAAUACACCUGUUAGCAAGGGCCGGGCAAGACCGGUGCCAGCCGCCGCGAUAACACCGGCGGCCCGAGUGGUGAUCGUGAUUAUUGGGUCUAAAGGGUCCGUAGCCGGUUUGGUCAGUCCUCCGGGAAAUCUGACGGCUUAACCGUUAGGCUUUCGGAGGAUACUGCCAGGCUUGGAACCGGGAGAGGUAAGAGGUACUACAGGGGUAGGAGUGAAAUCUUGUAAUCCCUGUGGGA
RNAcentral lists this ribosomal RNA (594 nucleotides) under Methanosarcina sp. enrichment culture clone G02. RNAcentral describes it as "bacterial SSU rRNA". It matches the Rfam family "Archaeal small subunit ribosomal RNA", at positions 63 to 656 of the family's 1478-position model. The record is from RNAcentral. Lineage: Archaea; Methanobacteriati; Methanobacteriota; Methanomicrobia; Methanosarcinales; Methanosarcinaceae.